CUAUACUCGGGGUUUGGAAAGGGGAAUCCCCUUCCCGGUUUGGAGGGGGUGCUCAGGAGCGUAAGCUCCGUCGAAGGGGGG
Molecule: small RNA, 81 nt
Rfam family: Clostridiales-2 RNA
Source: Rfam